UGCCAUGAACAGGAAGAAGAUACAGCAAGGGAGACUGAGAAGAGAUUAGACAGGAAUAAUGAACUGGAGGAAUUCCAUGUGAACUGGAGUAACCUCCAGAAAUUGAUGCAGAGUGAGAGAAGCAGAACCAGGAGAACAUGGUACACAGAGAUGGAUACAAUCAAAUGAAACAUCAUACAUGUGUUAUGUCAUCAUUCUAAAUGCCAUGGUUACUUCUAAAGUCAAGAAGACCUGACACAUCCUGAUGGAGAUCUGAGUUCUUCAGGAAAGGGACAUCACAAAGAACAUAAAUUAACAGAGGGUACAGGAAGGACCUCCUUUUUCCUAGAACCCCAGACUUAGGAGGCACAUGGUCUGACUUGGUGCUUGUUCAGAUGCUCAUGUAAGAAGUGUCUAGAAGUGCUGGCUGCCAGAUGGCUCAGGAUCUCAUGCUCUCAGCUUUCUUGUGCUUCUCUCUUUCUCUGGUCUACUUUUCACUAUUUAAUAAAUAAUUAUAACAUUAAAAU
Molecule: long non-coding RNA, 506 nt
Filed under: Monodelphis domestica (gray short-tailed opossum)
Lineage: Eukaryota; Metazoa; Chordata; Mammalia; Didelphimorphia; Didelphidae
Description: lncRNA (ENSMODG00000036252.2)
Source: RNAcentral